UGCAAGUCGAGCGACAGAUAAGGAGCUUGCUCCUUUGACGUUAGCGGCGGACGGGUGAGUAACACGUGGGUAACCUACCUAUAAGACUGGGAUAACUUCGGGAAACCGGAGCUAAUACCGGAUAACAUUUGGAACCGCAUGGUUCUAAAGUGAAAGAUGGUUUUGCUAUCACUUAUAGAUGGACCCGCGCCGUAUUAGCUAGUUGGUAAGGUAACGGCUUACCAAGGCGACGAUACGUAGCCGACCUGAGAGGGUGAUCGGCCACACUGGAACUGAGACACGGUCCAGACUCCUACGGGAGGCAGCAGUAGGGAAUCUUCCGCAAUGGGCGAAAGCCUGACGGAGCAACGCCGCGUGAGUGAUGAAGGGUUUCGGCUCGUAAAACUCUGUUAUUAGGGAAGAACAAAUGUGUAAGUAACUGUGCACGUCUUGACGGUACCUAAUCAGAAAGCCACGGCUAACUACGUGCCAGCAGCCGCGGUAAUACGUAGGUGGCAAGCGUUAUCCGGAAUUAUUGGGCGUAAAGCGCGCGUAGGCGGUUUCUUAAGUCUGAUGUGAAAGCCCACGGCUCAACCGUGGAGGGUCAUUGGAAACUGGGAAACUUGAGUGCAGAAGAGGAAAGUGGAAUUCCAUGUGUAGCGGUGAAAUGCGCAGAGAUAUGGAGGAACACCAGUGGCGAAGGCGACUUUCUGGUCUGUAACUGACGCUGAUGUGCGAAAGCGUGGGGAUCAAACAGGAUUAGAUACCCUGGUAGUCCACGCCGUAAACGAUGAGUGCUAAGUGUUUAAGGGGGUUUCCGCCCCUUUAGUGCUGCAGCUAACGCAUUAAGCACUCCGCCUGGGGGAGUACGACCGCAAGGUUGAAACUCAAAGGAAUUGACGGGGACCCGCACAAGCGGUGGAGCCAUGUGGUUUAAUUCGAAGCAACGCGAAGAACCUUACCAAAUCUUGACAUCCUUUGAAAACUCUAGAGAUAGAGCCUUCCCCUUCGGGGGACAAAGUGACAGGUGGGUGCAUGGUUGUCGUCAGCUCGUGUCGUGGAGAUGUUGGGGUUAAGUCCCGCAACGAGCGCAACCCUUAAGCUUAGUUGCCAUCAUUAAGUUGGGCACUCUAGGUUGACUGCCGGGACAA
Molecule: ribosomal RNA, 1130 nt
Filed under: Staphylococcus sp. NCCP-958
Lineage: Bacteria; Bacillati; Bacillota; Bacilli; Caryophanales; Staphylococcaceae
Description: bacterial SSU rRNA
Rfam family: Bacterial small subunit ribosomal RNA
Source: RNAcentral